This 481-nucleotide ribosomal RNA is filed under the name uncultured bacterium. RNAcentral's name for it is "partial 16S ribosomal RNA". It matches the Rfam family "Bacterial small subunit ribosomal RNA", at positions 28 to 523 of the family's 1533-position model. The record is from RNAcentral.
GACGAACGCUGGCGGCGUGCUUAACACAUGCAAGUCGAGCGGAAAGGCCACUUCGGUGGUACUCGAGCGGCGAACGGGUGAGUAACACGUGAGUAAUCUGCCCCUGGCUUUGGGAUAGCCACCGGAAACGGUGAUUAAUACCGGAUACGACCACUUCUCGCAUGGGAUGGUGGUGGAAAGUUUUUUCGGCCAGGGAUGUGCUCGCGGCCUAUCAGCUUGAUGGUGAGGUAAUGGCUCACCAUGGCUUCGACGGGUAGCCGGCCUGGGCGGGUGACCGGUCACACUGGGACUGAGACACUGCCCAGACUCCUACGGGAGGCAGCAGUGGGGAAUAUUGGACAAUGGGCGGAAGCCUGAUCCAGCAACGCCGCGUGAGGGAUGACGGCCUUCGGGUUGUAAACCUCUUUCAGCAGGGACGAAGCGCAAGUGACGGUACCUGCAGAAGAAGCACCGGCCAACUACGUGCCAGCCGCCGCAGUAA